RNAcentral lists this long non-coding RNA (546 nucleotides) under Sorghum bicolor (sorghum). Its description in RNAcentral is "long non-coding RNA (SBIC_LNC005657)". Lineage: Eukaryota; Viridiplantae; Streptophyta; Magnoliopsida; Poales; Poaceae. The record is from RNAcentral.
CCCGAUCUACCGUGCCCGCCGCGAGAUGAUGCCGGAGGCUGAUGGCUUGGACCCUCUGUCGUCCAACAUCUAGGUUUCUUUUUUCAGAGAACAAGUUUCUUUUUGAAACUUUCACAGAACAAGUUGAACCGAGGAGAAGGAGAGGAGUGCGCGACUUUGCGGGUUGGGGACGGAGUCUAUUGAUUAGUUGCACUUUUGAUUUUAGGAUGUUGUGAACUCGUCCCGUGUUUGGUUGAAGGAAUUGGAAACACAUAUUGGAUGGCAUGAUAACACCGUUAGUGGGGGUCCCACUUGCCACCAGUGAACCUCACCUAUCGAGCUCCCACCUAUUUUUUUCUUUUUUCUUUUUUUCUCCACUUUAUCUUCUUCCUCAAGCCCAUAGAGGACGUGGACGUGGAGGACCUGCCAGGGACGGCAGGCUCGAGCCCAUGGAGGACCUACCGAGGCUCCUCGUCCCGGUGCUGCUCGCGCGCCUCGCCACCGCCGGGCGAGGGUGGCCUUGCCGCCGCACCACCUUCGCCGCGGGGACGAGCAGGGUCCGCUGCG